Molecule: RNA transcript, 2054 nt
Organism: Ricinus communis (castor bean)
Lineage: Eukaryota; Viridiplantae; Streptophyta; Magnoliopsida; Malpighiales; Euphorbiaceae
Gene name: actin-related protein 6
Exons: 8
Source: RefSeq, a predicted model, not a curated record
GAAUUGAAGUGAAAAUCCAAAAGGAAGAAGAAAAAGAAUAAAUCUUUGCUUCUCAACUCAAAUACUGUACAAUAUUUCCUUUUUCUUAUUUUACAUUUUUUUUUUAAUUUUUCUCAGCACUCUGAAUAAAUCACUGUAAAACCCUUCAAUAAAGAAAUGCACAACAACAGCAAUAUUAGACCCCACUGCACGUUCUUCCAAACUCAAUUCUCCGACAUGUCAAACGUCAUAGUUCUCGACAACGGCGGGGGCUAUAUAAAAGCCGGACACGGCGGCGAACGUGAUCCAGUAACAAUUAUCCCCAACUGUGUCUACCGUCCACUCUCCUCAAAAAAAUACCUCCACCCAUCGUCCAGCACCACCACCGAAGACCUCACCUCCGCCGUAAUCCGCCGCCCAAUAGACCGUGGGUACUUAAUAAACCCUGACCUCCAGCGCGAUAUCUGGAAUCAUGUAUUUACUUCACUUCUCCACGUAACUCCUUCAAGUUCUUCUCUUUUAUUAACUGAGCCGUUAUUUACUCUUCCGUCUAUUCAGCGUGCUACUGACGAGCUUGUUUUUGAAGAUUUUGGGUUUAAUUCCUUGUUUAUUACUGAUUCACCUAAGUUGGUUCAUCUUUAUGAGGCAAGUAGAAGGCCUUAUGGCUUAGUUUCUAAAGCUCAGUGUAGUUUAGUUGUGGAUUGCGGGUUUUCUUUUACUCAUGCUGCUCCGGUUUUUCAGAAUUUUACGCUUAAUUAUGGUGUCAAAAGGAUUGAUUUGGGUGGGAAAGCUUUGACCAAUUAUUUAAAGGAGUUGGUUUCUUAUCGGAGUGUUAAUGUUAUGGAUGAAAGCUUUAUUAUGGAUGAUGUUAAAGAGAAAUUGUGCUUUGUUUCGCUUGAUAUUGUGCGCGAUUUGCAGAUGGCCAGGAAACGUGGGAGGGACAAUCUUUUGCGGUGUACUUAUGUUCUACCUGAUGGUAUCAACCACACUAAGGGUUUUGUUAAAGACCCAGACGAAGCAAAGAGAUAUCUGACUGAUGGAGCUACUGCAUCUCUACAAACAAACAAGGGUAUUGAUCAACCAGAAGUUUCAGAGAAGCUUGAGGAGAGAAAGAGAACUGACUUAUCAAAAAAUGAGUUUGACUUGACAAAUGAACGGUUCCUUGUUCCAGAAAUGAUCUUCCACCCUGCAGAUUUGGGUUUGAACCAAGCUGGAUUAGCAGAGUGCAUAGUUCGAGCAGUUAAUUCCUGCCAUCCUCUUCUUCACCCUGUACUCUAUGAGAGCAUAAUAUUGACUGGUGGAAGCACAUUAUUUCCCAGAUUUUCUGAGAGACUCGAAAUGGAGCUCAGGCCUCUUGUCCCUGAUGACUAUCAAGUGAAAAUAACCACACUAGAAGAUCCCCUACUAGGUGUAUGGCGAGGUGGAUCACUUUUGGCAUCAAGUCCUGAUUUUGAAGCUAUGUGCGUCACCAAGUCUGAGUAUGAGGAACUUGGAUCUGCGCGAUGUCGCAGGAGAUUCUUUCAUUAAGACCUUGAAACUGCUGAUUGCUGAAGGUAUCACAAGGCCUUACAGUCAUACGUUACGCUUUAUGUGACAUUGAAGCAGAAUCAAGGAAAUGCAGUGGGUGCUCAACUUUCUCCUGAGCCUUCGUGGUUCAUGCUGCCUGUUUGGCUAGCAUCAAAGCUCAAUUGCCUGAUUCGACUUGUUAUGAUCAUGGGGUUGAGAGGUUAAAGGUGUUACCUUUUGACUUCUUGCUUGCCAGUGGAAGGGUACUUUAUUGAAUGUCAUUAUGACUGCUGGCCUUAUUGAAUCUCUGCAAGCAGAUUGACAUGUCUCGUCUCUGGUGUUGAGCAAUGGUGACUCCCAGUUGUAUUUGCAAGAUAAUUCCUGUUUGUUGGGGGUGAAUUGGGCUAGAGAAGUCUUAAUUUUCUUUUUUCUUUCUGUAACUUGUCAAAGUAUUCUGGGCGUUGCACAUAAGAGUCAGAUGUUGUCACAUUUCAUGUCCAAACCAUCAGCAUUCUGAUGAGAAUGCAGGUGUUCCUUGGUGUACAAAGAGUUGUGAAAUAAAUUUUUUU